UAGUACAUAAUAAUUUGUUAAAAUAUUGCAAUUUUAGUUCCUCUUGAGGAUAAAUGUUAAGAGAGAGUUGAAAAGGAGAGGGACUAUGUGCACAUAGCAGCAUGGUGUGGAGUUGGCCGGGAAGUAAUGAGGAAGAGAAGAUGGAAGUUCACCUAUCGGAGCCUGGGGCAAAGGAGUGGAGAGACUCAAGUCGAUAAACAUCAAAGAAUUCCUGUCCAGCAGACAUAGAUCUCCACCAAUGUACUAGUAUGAAGUGAGUUUGUGAGUAAGAGAAGCCGAUCAACAAAUGAGACAUAGAAUCGCAAGACUGUGAUCUGGCAGAGGGAUGGAAAGUUGCAGAGGCUGGAGCCGGCGGAGUGUCCCAGCUGGAGUCUAAGGGCUGAAUUCUGCCAUUGUGAGCACCGAAACUCCCUCCCAAAAGAGGUAAGCCUUCGUGAGCCAAGGACAAAAUUCCAGAGCUGGCUAG
Molecule: long non-coding RNA, 466 nt
Filed under: Phascolarctos cinereus (koala)
Lineage: Eukaryota; Metazoa; Chordata; Mammalia; Diprotodontia; Phascolarctidae
Description: lncRNA (ENSPCIG00000029943.2)
Source: RNAcentral